Molecule: long non-coding RNA, 549 nt
Organism: Acipenser ruthenus (sterlet)
Lineage: Eukaryota; Metazoa; Chordata; Actinopteri; Acipenseriformes; Acipenseridae
Exons: 3
Source: RefSeq, a predicted model, not a curated record
CUGCAGUAGCAUUAUCUACUGAAUAAUUGCCCUUGUCUUCCAUUAAGCUCCCUCACCUCACAGUGGAGCUUUGCAAUGAUGUUGCCAACAUGGUUUCUCAAGAAGAUUAGAUGCAGCGCUUUCACCAUAAAUGACCAUUUUUAAGAGACAAUGUUUUCAGCAGGGGAGCAAGUCGGCUACCAGAACAUGGGACUCUCCCUCGGUACACAUUAUUAGAGUUUUUUAAGAGACAAGCAGGCAAUUUGGCUGUCAUUGGGAUUGUUUGAAGAGAAUGUGUUUAUCCUUGCGAUUCUCAAGGGGAAGGGUAUCAAAAACAGGAUCACCCAUGAGCAGCUGACAUUGCUGUUAUGCAUUUGCCAAUAUUACAUUUAAUAAAUGGGUCUGCCGCAAUACAUUCUGAUCAGGAUAUUUUGCCAUCCCAACGUGAUGUAACCUAUGACCCCUGCUUGUCUUAUUUCGCAUGGCCUGCGUUUGUUUCUUGUAGUGUUCCACUAACUAUAGCGGCUCUGUUUAGAAAUACUUUAGCAAUAACCUUUUUACUCAGGGAUG